This 227-nucleotide ribosomal RNA is filed under the name uncultured Actinomycetes bacterium. RNAcentral's name for it is "uncultured actinobacterium partial 16S ribosomal RNA". It matches the Rfam family "Bacterial small subunit ribosomal RNA", at positions 105 to 334 of the family's 1533-position model. Lineage: Bacteria; Bacillati; Actinomycetota; Actinomycetes. The record is from RNAcentral.
GGUAGUAACACGUGAGCAACGUGCCCAAGACUCUGGAAUAACUUCGGGAAACCGGAGCUAAUACUGGAUACGAGACGUAAAGGCAUCUUUAGCGUCUGGAAAGAAUUUCGGUCUUGGAUCGGCUCACGGCCUAUCAGCUUGUUGGUGAGGUAAUGGCUCACCAAGGCGACGACGGGUAGCCGGCCUGAGAGGGUGACCGGCCACACUGGGACUGAGACACGGCCCAG